RNAcentral lists this transfer RNA (77 nucleotides) under Gellertiella hungarica. RNAcentral describes it as "tRNA-OTHER". Lineage: Bacteria; Pseudomonadati; Pseudomonadota; Alphaproteobacteria; Hyphomicrobiales; Rhizobiaceae. The record is from RNAcentral.
GCCCUUGUACCGUCGCAGGCCUUCUAUCCUGACAGACGUAACGGAUGAUGCGAGUUCGAAUCUCGCCAAGGGCUCCA